CGCGCGGGACGACCCGCGCCAGUGUUCGCAUCGGGGACGGCCCCA
Molecule: non-coding RNA, 45 nt
Organism: Elaeophora elaphi
Lineage: Eukaryota; Metazoa; Nematoda; Chromadorea; Rhabditida; Onchocercidae
Source: Rfam